GUGAAGCGGCAACAGCUCAAAUUUGAAAUCUGGCUCCUUUCGGGGUCCGAGUUGUAAUUUGCAGAGGGUGCUUUGGCGUUGGCGGCGGUCUAAGUUCCUUGGAACAGGACAUCACAGAGGGUGAGAAUCCCGUACGUGGUCGCCUGCCUUCGCCGUGUAAAGCCCCUUCGACGAGUCGAGUUGUUUGGGAAUGCAGCUCUAAAUGGGAGGUAAAUUUCUUCUAAAGCUAAAUACCGGCCAGAGACCGAUAGCGCACAAGUAGAGUGAUCGAAAGAUGAAAAGCACUUUGGAAAGAGAGUCAAACAGCACGUGAAAUUGUUAUAAGGGAAGCGCUUGCAGCCAGACUUGCCUGUAGUUGCUCACCUGGGCUUUUGCCCGGGGCACUCUUCUGCAGGCAGGCCAGCAUCAGUUUGGGCGGUCGGAUAAAGGCCUCUGACACGUACUUCCUCUCGGGGUUGACAUAUAGGGGAGGCGCAAUGCGACCAGCCUGGACUGAGGUCCGCGCAUCUGCUAGGAUGCUGGCGUAAUGGCUGUAAGCGGCCCGUCUUGAAACACGGACCAAGGAGUCUAACAUCUAUGCGAGUGUUUGGGUGUCAAGCCCGAGCGCGUAAUGAAAGUGAACGGAGGUGGGAACCCCUCGGGGCGCACCAUCGACCGAUCCUGAUGUCUUCGGAUGGAUUUGAGUAAGAGCAUAGCUGUUGGGACCCGAAAGAUGGUGAACUAUGCUUGAAUAGGGUGAAGCCAGAGGAAACUCUGGUGGAGGCUCGCAGCGGUUCUGACGUGCAA
Molecule: ribosomal RNA, 786 nt
Filed under: Periconia cookei
Lineage: Eukaryota; Fungi; Ascomycota; Dothideomycetes; Pleosporales; Periconiaceae
Description: partial large subunit ribosomal RNA
Rfam family: Eukaryotic large subunit ribosomal RNA
Source: RNAcentral